This 503-nucleotide ribosomal RNA is filed under the name uncultured bacterium. RNAcentral's name for it is "partial 16S ribosomal RNA". It matches the Rfam family "Bacterial small subunit ribosomal RNA", at positions 30 to 523 of the family's 1533-position model. The record is from RNAcentral.
AUUGAACGCUGGCGGCAGGCUUAACACAUGCAAGUCGAGCGGGGUGAUGGUGCUUGCACUAUCACUUAGCGGCGGACGGGUGAGUAAUGCUUAGGAAUCUGCCUAUUAGUGGGGGACAACAUCUCGAAAGGGAUGCUAAUACCGCAUACGUCCUACGGGAGAAAGCAGGGGAUCACUUGUGACCUUGCGCUAAUAGAUGAGCCUAAGUCGGAUUAGCUAGUUGGUGGGGUAAGGGCCUACCAAGGCGACGAUCUGUAGCGGGUCUGAGAGGAUGAUCCGCCACACUGGGACUGAGACACGGCCCAGACUCCUACGGGAGGCAGCAGUGGGGAAUAUUGGACAAUGGGGGGAACCCCGAUCCAGCCAUGCCGCGUGUGUGAAGAAGGCCUUAUGGUUAUAAAGCACUUUAAGCGAGGAGGAGGCUCUUUUGGUUAAUACCCAAGAUGAGUGGACGUUACUCGCAGAAUAAGCACCGGCUAACUCUGUGCCAGCAGCCGCAGUAA